Non-coding RNA from Chlorocebus sabaeus (green monkey), 2609 nucleotides. Lineage: Eukaryota; Metazoa; Chordata; Mammalia; Primates; Cercopithecidae. The record is from RefSeq and is a predicted model, not a curated record.
UUCUGGCCUCGCUGGCGUGGACGUUUGUGGGGUGGCGCGUUGGUCCUCACUCUCGGAACUGUGCUGGGAAGGAUGGUGGGGAGACUGGGGCUCACUUCCGCACCGUUGUAGGACCCGGGGUAGGGUGUUGAGUCCGUGGGAGCUGCCCCACGCGGCCUCGUCCUGCCAACGGUCGGAUGGCAGAGGCGAAGGACGCAGCGCAGAUGUUGGUGACCUUCAAGGAUGUGGCUGUGACCUUUACCCAGGAGGAGUGGAGACAGCUGGACCUGACCCAGAGGACCCUGUACCGAGAGGUGAUGCUGGAGACCUGUGGGCUUCUGGUUUCACUAGGGCAUCGGGUUCCCAAACCAGAGUUGGUCCACCUGCUAGAGCAUGGGCAGGAGCUGUGGACAGUGAAGAGAGGCCUCUCACACCCCACCUGUGCAGGUGACAGAACACAAGUUCAUACCAGAGAGCCAACCACUUACCCGCCAGACUUAUCUGAGUGGGCCUUUGUCCGGGGAAGCCUGACUGUGGAAUCUUCAACCUCAAGUGACUCGAGGUUGGGGAGAUCUAGGGAUAAGGAAGGGCUUGUGGAAAUGACACCAGAGACAGACCUCCACAAGGAGACCCAUCCUGGGAAAGCGAGCCUUGAAGGUGAAGGUUUGGGGACAGAUGAUGGUCUGCACUCCAGGGCAUUACAAGAAUGGUUAUCAACAGAUGUUCUCCAUGAAUGUGACUCACAGCAACCAGGGAAAGACGCCUUGAUUCAUGCAGGGACAAACGCCUACAAAUGCAAGCAGUGUGGGAAAGGUUUUAACAGGAAGUGGUAUCUUGUUCGACAUCAGAGGGUUCACACUGGAAUGAAACCCUACGAAUGCAACGCGUGUGGGAAAGCCUUUAGCCAGAGCUCAACUCUCAUUCGGCACUACCUCAUCCACACUGGGGAGAAACCAUACAAGUGCCUUGAGUGUGGAAAGGCCUUCAAACGCAGGUCGUACCUCAUGCAGCACCAUCCAAUCCACACUGGAGAGAAACCCUAUGAGUGCAGUCAAUGUCGAAAGGCCUUCACCCACCGGUCUACUUUCAUUCGCCAUAACAGGACCCACACCGGAGAAAAACCCUUUGAGUGCAAAGAAUGUAAGAAAGCCUUUAGCAAUAGGGCCCACCUAAUUCAACACUACAUCAUCCACACUGGAGAGAAACCCUAUGAUUGCAUGGCGUGUGGAAAGGCCUUCAGAUGCAGCUCAGAACUCAUACAGCACCAGCGGAUUCACACUGGGGAGAAGCCCUAUGAAUGCACCCAGUGUGGGAAGGCCUUUCACCGGAGCACAUACCUCAUUCAGCACUCUGUCAUCCACACUGCGGAGAUGCCCUACAAGUGUAUCGAGUGUGGGAAGGCCUUCAAACGCAGGUCACACCUUCUACAGCACCAAAGAGUCCAUACAUGACAGAACCCUAUUGUUGCAAUGAAUAUAGCAAAGCCUUCACCCACUGUUCUUAUUUUAUCAUUCAUAAUGGGACCCACACUGGAGGAAGAAGCCCUUCGAGUGCAAAGAAUGUCAGGAAACUUCAUUUUUUUCCUCAGCUCUUUCUUAACUAACACAUGAGCAAUCACUUUGGAGAGAAACGCUGUGAAUACAGUGAAUGUAAGGAUCCUUUCAGUCACCACUCAGUUCUCACUCACUGCAGAAGGAUUCAUGUCAGAGGGAAAUGUGGAAGGCACUCUAUCAACAUCAGAAGACUCAGGCUGGAGAAACAUUCCAAAUAUAACUCUUAAGGACAGUCUUUGGCCAGAGGAAAAAUCUUACUAUCCGAGCAUCAUAAUGAAAAGUUACUACAUAAUUGUCAUUGAUGUGAGAAAACUUUCUGUGACCAGUUUGUCACUUACUUGUCCUAUAAAGAGCCAUGCUGGAAUGUGACCCACCUCGGGAUUUUCUCUAUGAACUUAUGAAAACCUUCAGUCACAGGACAGAGUGCACAGUUUCCUUUCCUCUGGGAAGGAGAGUUGACUCUUGAGGACCACCACCCUCCUGCACCCUCUCUCUGGAAGGCUGCAUGUAUUGUAGCUGUGGCUGUACUUGUACCUAAGGCCCUGGGUUCAAGAGAGUUGGAGAAAUCCCUCUAGAAACAUAUUGGCUGUCAUCAAAGGGUUCUUUCCAGGCCUGAGGACCUAGGCCCCAGUUUGUCCCAAAGCAGGAGUGAUGUUUUCCAUGGGAUAAAGGACAGCCUGGGGUUUUUCUUAGCUUUCAACUCUUUCUGUACAGUCUUACAGUGUUUGGUAAAAGGAUCUACUAUGAACUUGCUGCUGUGAUAGGCAAGAAUCUCAUGAGACACCUGUCAUUUAGCUCCAUGGCCACUCACUGUUGUGUUCAUAUUUGGAAGAGUAGGAUGCAGUGGAUGGCUGGGCUAUGGGUCCUACCCUUGAGCAGGGAAGGAACUUACUGUCUAGUAUAGGAAAAACACAUGAGAACAGGUGCAAUAUAUUGACGUAAACUUGUUUAGCACCCAUUUUUAAGUCAGUAAAACUUAUGAACUUCUGUAUGUUUUCCACAAAUACUCAGUUUAUGAUUGAGGUAAAAAAAUUUUUUUUUUUUUUUUUUUUUUUUGAGACAGAGUUUUGUUGCCCA